RNAcentral lists this unclassified non-coding RNA (391 nucleotides) under soil metagenome. RNAcentral describes it as "partial contains 5.8S ribosomal RNA, internal transcribed spacer 2, and large subunit ribosomal RNA". The stretch from base 1 to 122 matches the Rfam family "5.8S ribosomal RNA", at positions 35 to 154 of the family's 154-position model. The record is from RNAcentral.
GAUGAAGAACGUAGCGAAACGCGAUACUUGGUGUGAAUUGCAGAAUCCCGUGAACCAUCGAGUCUUUGAACGCAAGUUGCGCCCGAAGCCAUUAGGCCGAGGGCACGCCUGCCUGGGCGUCACACGUCGUUGCCCCCCCAUCUACUCCUUCGGGAUUGCGGGGGGCGGAUGAUGGCCUCCCGUGCGCCUCGUCGCGCGGUUGGCAUAAAUACCAAGUCCUCGGCGACGCACGCCACGACAAUCGGUGGUUGCGAAACCUCGGUUGCCCGUCGUGUGCGGUCGUCGCGCAUCGAGGGCUCGAAAAAAUUGCCGGGCUCCGGCUCGGCUUUCAACGCGACCCCAGGUCAGGCGGGGUUACCCGCUGAAUUUAAGCAUAUCAAUAAGCGGAGGA